RNAcentral lists this long non-coding RNA (212 nucleotides) under Pan troglodytes (chimpanzee). RNAcentral's name for it is "long non-coding RNA NONPTRT016608". The record is from RNAcentral. Lineage: Eukaryota; Metazoa; Chordata; Mammalia; Primates; Hominidae.
GGGGACUCUCCUGGCUGGCAUGGCACACACACAGGCUAAUCAGGAAUCUCUAGAUAACAUCCACCCACGAUGGAGACCUGGACACUGAUACCUUUUUUCCUGUUUAACCCUCUGAGUUGCCUAAAGAGGGUUUGGUAGAAACUAGAUUCCUGGACAGCCUUCCCCCGGAGCUUGUCCCUACUGAGUCUCUCUCGGAAUUUGUUGAACACCUC